This 939-nucleotide ribosomal RNA is filed under the name Salmonella enterica subsp. enterica serovar Enteritidis. RNAcentral describes it as "partial 23S ribosomal RNA". It matches the Rfam family "Bacterial large subunit ribosomal RNA", at positions 550 to 1495 of the family's 2925-position model. Lineage: Bacteria; Pseudomonadati; Pseudomonadota; Gammaproteobacteria; Enterobacterales; Enterobacteriaceae. The record is from RNAcentral.
CUGAAACCGUGUACGUACAAGCAGUGGGAGCACCCUUUGGGUGUGACUGCGUACCUUUUGUAUAAUGGGUCAGCGACUUAUAUUCUGUAGCAAGGUUAACCGAAUAGGGGAGCCGGAGGGAAACCGAGUCUUAACCGGGCGUUAAGUUGCAGGGUAUAGACCCGAAACCCGGUGAUCUAGCCAUGGGCAGGUUGAAGGUUGGGUAACACUAACUGGAGGACCGAACCGACUAAUGUUGAAAAAUUAGCGGAUGACCUGUGGCUGGGGGUGAAAGGCCAAUCAAACCGGGAGAUAGCUGGUUCUCCCCGAAAGCUAUUUAGGUAGCGCCUCGUGAAUUCAUCUCCGGGGGUAGAGCACUGUUUCGGCUAGGGGGCCAUCCCGGCUUACCAACCCGAUGCAAACUGCGAAUACCGGAGAAUGUUAUCACGGGAGACACACGGCGGGUGCUAACGUCCGUCGUGAAGAGGGAAACAACCCAGACCGCCAGCUAAGGUCCCAAAGUCAUGGUUAAGUGGGAAACGAUGUGGGAAGGCCCAGACAGCCAGGAUGUUGGCUUAGAAGCAGCCAUCAUUUAAAGAAAGCGUAAUAGCUCACUGGUCGAGUCGGCCUGCGCGGAAGAUGUAACGGGGCUAAACCAUGCACCGAAGCUGCGGCAGCGACACUGUGUGUUGUUGGGUAGGGGAGCGUUCUGUAAGCCUGUGAAGGUGUGUCGUGAGGCAUGCUGGAGGUAUCAGAAGUGCGAAUGCUGACAUAAGUAACGAUAAAGCGGGUGAAAAGCCCGCUCGCCGGAAGACCAAGGGUUCCUGUCCAACGUUAAUCGGGGCAGGGUGAGUCGACCCCUAAGGCGAGGCCGAAAGGCGUAGUCGAUGGGAAACGGGUUAAUAUUCCCGUACUUGGUGUUACUGCGAAGGGGGGACGGAGAAGGCUAUGUUGGCCGGG